AAUGAGAUAAUUUAAGGUCAGAAUAGUGAAUUGUAAAUUCAACAGUGGUUUACCCUCUUAUUA
This 63-nucleotide transfer RNA is filed under the name Pandarus rhincodonicus. RNAcentral's name for it is "tRNA-Tyr". Lineage: Eukaryota; Metazoa; Arthropoda; Copepoda; Siphonostomatoida; Pandaridae. The record is from RNAcentral.